This 253-nucleotide ribosomal RNA is filed under the name uncultured bacterium. Its description in RNAcentral is "partial 16S ribosomal RNA". It matches the Rfam family "Bacterial small subunit ribosomal RNA", at positions 524 to 776 of the family's 1533-position model. RNAcentral also lists the same sequence under 2 other names. The record is from RNAcentral.
GACAGAGGGUGCAAACGUUGUUCGGAAUUACUGGGCGUAAAGCGCGUGUAGGCGGCCUCGCAAGUCGGAUGUGAAAGCCCUCGGCUCAACCGGGGAAGUGCAUUCGAAACUGCAAGGCUAGAGUCCCGGAGAGGAUAGUGGAAUUCUCGGUGUAGAGGUGAAAUUCGUAGAUAUCGAGAGGAACACCGGUGGCGAAGGCGGCUAUCUGGACGGUGACUGACGCUGAGACGCGAAAGCGUGGGGAGCAAACAGG